CCUACGGGGGGCUGCAGUGGGGAAUUUUGGGCAAUGGGGGAAACCCUGACCCAGCGACGCCGCGUGGAGGAUGAAGGCCUUCGGGUUGUAAACUUCUUUGGCCAGGGACGAUAAUGACUGUACCUGGAGAACAAGCCACGGCUAACUACGUGCCAGCAGCCGCGGUAAUACGUAGGUGGCAAGCGUUAUCCGGAAUUACUGGGUGUAAAGGGCGUGUAGGCGGCCUUAUAAGUUGGGUGUUUAAUUCCCGGGCUCAACCCGGGGUUGUCACUUAAAACUGUAGGGCUUGAGGCUCAGAGAGGACAGUGGAAUUCCUAGUGUAGCGGUAAAAUGCGUAGAUAUUAGGAGGAACACCAGUGGCGAAGGCGGCUGUCUGGCUGAGUACUGACGCUGAUGCGCGAAAGCGUGGGGAGCAAACAGGAUUAGAUACCCCUGUAGUC
Molecule: ribosomal RNA, 440 nt
Filed under: uncultured Oscillospiraceae bacterium
Lineage: Bacteria; Bacillati; Bacillota; Clostridia; Eubacteriales; Oscillospiraceae
Description: bacterial SSU rRNA
Rfam family: Bacterial small subunit ribosomal RNA
Source: RNAcentral